Molecule: unclassified non-coding RNA, 117 nt
Organism: Callithrix jacchus (white-tufted-ear marmoset)
Lineage: Eukaryota; Metazoa; Chordata; Mammalia; Primates; Cebidae
Rfam family: Metazoan signal recognition particle RNA
About the family: The signal recognition particle (SRP) is a universally conserved ribonucleoprotein. It is involved in the co-translational targeting of proteins to membranes.
Source: Ensembl
GCCGGGCAUGGUGGCUCAUGCCUAUAAUCCCAGCACUUUGGGAGGCCGAGGUGGGUGGAUCACCUGAGGUCAGGAGCUCAAGCCCAGCCUGACCAACAUGGGGAAACCCCAUCUCUU